UUCUUUUGGGCUGAAGGUUUUAUCUUGCCACAAGAACUAGAUUUGCCCAGGGUUCGUAGUUUAUAACAAGGGGCACGCUAUUUAUAAUGCACGAUGGGUGUUUAACGUGUUGGAAGAAGAAGAUAUUGCCCAAACCACUAGGUGGAAUAUCAGUAGGAGGCCCACAUACUUCCCUUAUUCAUACGAAACACGGCACAAUUUUCAGCAAGACCGCAAACGUCAAGUAAGGGUGAAAUGGACAUACAUGUUUUUUGCUCAGAAUCCAGUUAAUUAUUCCAGCCAUGUACCUAGAAGAAUCUCAAAAGCUUUUAUGUUUGAUGCUGGUCCAUGCACCCAUGUUGGAGAAUCUGGUAUGUUAUAGCACCUAUUCCAUCUAUAAGAUAGCGAGAUAUGGUGUCCAACUGUUGGAUUUGCUUGAUUAUGAAGAUAUUGAGAAACAUCAAAAUGUCUCAUUAGCUUCUGUUGCUAACAAGCGGCAACUGUUGAUCCACAGGAAAAAAGAAGGGUGACAAUCGUUGGUGUCUUUUGUUCUUCACUUUUUCCAUACAUGUUAAGAAGCAUCCAUACAUGUGAUGUAUCAUGCAUCAUUAUCUGAUCACGGAACAGUUCUGUUAUUCCGGUAAAAGGACCGAUACAUUUGCUCACCAUUCGUAACGAGCAACUGCAUUUUUCUGGUAAAAUUUAUAUUUAUUAGAUAUUCUGAUGCUGCUUGUUAAGCUCUAACUAAUGUAAUGAUCCCGAGUAAAUGUUCUUAUGAUAACUUACUGAUUCAUGUUUGGUUUUCCUCUUAUUAAUUUGUGUGUUUCUUGCCAAUGCAACCAAAAGACCGAUCUGAUGGAAGAGACUAGUCAAUGCAUCAACACUCCCCCUCAAGACCUCUUGGCUCUGAUACCAUGUAGAAGUGGGUGCUCUAGCCAAUGCAACCAAAAGACCGAUCUGAUGAAAAAGACUAGGCAAUACAACAACAAUGAGCAUUCUGUGGUUCUCUUGCAGUGCGAAUUGUCACUCAUGGAAUGAUUCUUGUGGCUGUUUCGCACGAUCAUAUGUAAUCUGUCUGCUGUUUCGCAUGUUGGUUCACAUGAUCAUAUGUAAUCUGUCUGUUGUGCACGUUGUAUAAUGCAACCAGUGUUAUUGUCAUUGAUGAUAGAAUAUGCUGUAGAAUACCAGUAAUCCUGAAUAUGUGCUAAAGUUGCCACGCUACGUAUAAAAUCUUCAACGACAAGCAUUUGAUUCCAAGAAAAGGCGACUGUCAUGCAGAUAAGCAUACAUUAGAGGUUGAGCAUCUAUUUCGUGUGGAGGGUGGAUGUUGCGUAAUUGCUUGUGUUUUUUCUUUCUUUUCGUG
RNAcentral lists this long non-coding RNA (1342 nucleotides) under Triticum aestivum (bread wheat). RNAcentral describes it as "long non-coding RNA (TAES_LNC016758)". Lineage: Eukaryota; Viridiplantae; Streptophyta; Magnoliopsida; Poales; Poaceae. The record is from RNAcentral.